GAAAGCUUUUCAACAUGUUGCUUCAUAUGAUUCUGCAGUUUCAGAAUGGCUGUGGAAACAGACUGUUGGAGAUAAGUUCCCUCCCAGCCUGACAGUGCCGCUCUCUCUAAAAGACCAACUUCGAUAUGGUGAAAAUCCUCAUCAGAAGGCUGCAGUUUAUGUGGACAAGUCUCUGUCUGAGGUUAACGCUGGUGGAAUUGCAACUGUUAUCCAACACCAUGGCAAGGAGAUGUCAUAUAACAACUACCUGGACGCUGAUGCAGCUUGGAAUUGUGUCUGUGAUUUUAAUCAACCAACUUGUGUUGUUGUGAAGCAUACAAAUCCUUGUGGAGUUGCAUCACGGAAUGAUAUCAUUGAAGCAUAUAGGCUAGCUGUGAAAGCAGAUCCAGUUAGUGCAUUUGGUGGUAUAGUAGCCUUCAAUGUCGAAGUUGAUGAGGCUCUUGCAAAGGAUAUUAGAGAAUUUAGAAGCCCCACAGAUGGUGAGACUAGGAUGUUUUAUGAAAUAGUAGUCGCACCAAAAUACACAGAGAAGGGUCUUGAGGUUCUCCGUGGGAAGUCUAAGACUUUGAGAAUCCUUGAGGCAAGUAAAAACAACAAGGGCAAGCUUUCUCUCAGACAAAUUGGUGGUGGUUGGUUAGCCCAGGAUUCAGAUGAUUUGACCCCGGAAGAUAUCCAAUUCAAUGUCAUGUCUGACAAAACUCCACAAGAAAAUGAGCUUAUCGAUGCACAGUUUGCUUGGUUAUGUGUCAAGCAUGUCAAGAGCAAUGCCAUUGUAAUUGCAAAGAACAAUUGUAUGUUAGGAAUGGGGAGUGGACAACCAAAUCGUCUAGAAAGUUUGAGGAUUGCUAUGAGGAAAGCUGGAGAUGAAGUAAAAGGAGCUGCUUUGGCAAGUGAUGCUUUCUUCCCAUUUGCAUGGAAUGAUGCUGUUGAAGAAGCGUGUCAAAGCGGAGUAAGCGUUAUUGCAGAACCAGGAGGGAGCAUAAGGGACAAAGAUGCAGUGGAGUGUUGUAACAAGUAUGGAGUCUCACUUGUUUUCACCAACGUGAGGCACUUCAGGCAUUAGAUGUUUUGUAGGGUAUUACUAAACUCCUUAUUUACUAUUUUUACCAAAUGUUUUUGAUCUCUAACAUUAAUCUUUAAUAUUUUUGAGGAAUUAUCUUUUAUCUAGUAGUUUUGAG
Molecule: unclassified non-coding RNA, 1178 nt
Filed under: Hevea brasiliensis (rubber tree)
Lineage: Eukaryota; Viridiplantae; Streptophyta; Magnoliopsida; Malpighiales; Euphorbiaceae
Source: RNAcentral